CGCUGGCGGCACGCCUAACACAUGCAAGUCGAACGAAGUAGCAAUACUUAGUGGCAGACGGGUGAGUAACAUGUAGGUAUCUACCCUAUGGCCUGGAAUAACACGAGGAAACUUGUGCUAAUACCGGAUAAGUCUUUACAGAGAAAGCUUUAUGCACCAUUGGAUGAGCCUGCACUUGAUUAGUUUGUUGGUAGGGUAAUGGCCUACCAAGACUGUGAUCAAUAGCUGAUUUGAGAGGAUGAUCAGCCACAUUGGGACUGAGACACGGCCCAAACUCCUACGGGAGGCAGCAGUGGGGAAUCUUGCACAAUGGAGGAAACUCUGAUGCAGCGAUGCCGCGUGAGUGAAGAAGGCCUUUGGGUUGUAAAGCUCUUUCGUCGGGGAAGAAAAUGACUGUACCCGAAUAAGAAGGUCCGGCUAACUUCGUGCCAGCAGCCGCGGUAAUACGAAGGGACCUAGCGUAGUUCGGAAUUACUGGGCUUAAAGAGUUCGUAGGUGGUUGAAAAAGUUGGUGGUGAAAUCCCAGAGCUUAACUCUGGAACUGCCAUCAAAACUUUUCAGCUAGAGUAUGAUAGAGGAAAGCAGAAUUUCUAGUGUAGAGGUGAAAUUCGUAGAUAUUAGAAAGAAUACCAAUUGCGAAGGCAGCUUUCUGGAUCAUUACUGACACUGAGGAACGAAAGCAUGGGUAGCGAAGAGGAUUAGAUACCCUCGUAGUCCAUGCCGUAAACGAUGUGUGUUAGACGUUGGAAAUUUAUUUUCAGUGUCGCAGCGAAAGCGAUAAACACACCGCCUGGGGAGUAC
This 801-nucleotide ribosomal RNA is filed under the name uncultured Pelagibacteraceae bacterium. RNAcentral's name for it is "bacterial SSU rRNA". It matches the Rfam family "Bacterial small subunit ribosomal RNA", at positions 34 to 883 of the family's 1533-position model. The record is from RNAcentral. Lineage: Bacteria; Pseudomonadati; Pseudomonadota; Alphaproteobacteria; Candidatus Pelagibacterales; Candidatus Pelagibacteraceae.